GGACACUAUAGUCACCAGAACAUCUACAGCUUAAUAUUGUUGUUCUAGUAAGUAUAGUAUGCGCCUGCAGGCUUUUUAAUGGAAAUACUGCCUUUUCUCUGAAAAGGCAAUGUUUACAUUACUACAUAGUCAGUCACUCAAAUGGCCACUAGAGGUGCUUUCUGUCUCAGUGCUGAACAAUGUGCAAAGUCUCCCUGCUCUGAGCGUUCCUCAUAGAAAUUGUACUCAAAUGCAAUAGCCUCCUUGGAUUGGCUGAGAUUGUGAAUUUUGAUGAACUCGGCCAAGAAGACAGAGAAGGGGUGGGGCUAGCCAUAACUGAUCCCUUGAAGUGCUGGAAUAAAAGUGAGUUUUACACCUUUUACUUUCCUAAUAAGGAGGCAUAAAUAGUGCUAUUAGAACUAUAGUGUCAGGAAUAUAUAUCUGAAUUCCUGAGACUACAGUGUUCCUUUAAGGACUGGUAAUUUCAUACUUAAGAUGUAUUAUCCUUAGAACAAGCUUAGAGUCUUGUGUACUAAUAAAGACCACAUAGUGCAAUAAAUGUUGACAUUGAUGAAUAUAUUUCAGCAUGGCUGUGAUGUAGGGGCUGUAGAAUAAACAUAUACCUCCAAAGUAACAAAAAAAAUAAAAUAAAGUAGCCAGUUACCUUGUAUUUUGGGUAAACGUUUAAUAUUAAAAUGAAAAUAGUACAUAAUAGAAUGUAGUACAGUAGUACAGCUUACUCAAUAACAUACAUAAAGCAUGGGUUAGGUUGUUACAUUUAGAGUUACAUAAACAGCUUAAUUUGAAAAUGUAGCAAAUUGGUUAUUAAUUGAUCAAGAUACAAAAUUACAAUUUGAAAUCUUAGAAGUGAAUUCAAAGUGCUUUUAAUAAAAUACAAUAAAAGUAUAAUUGUUUAGUAGAUAUACCCCAAUAAAACAUGCAUGCAUAUGUAACUAAAAAUGGCUUGCAAAAACUGCAGAUGUUUUAGCAAGCUCUCCCCUUCUAACCCUACCAAGGCUCUAUGACAAUAUUCCCUGCUGCUCAAUGAGAAGUCUUUUAAAGACAGGUAAUAUGAGCAAUUGUCUGUCUCUUGAGUUUAGCUCCACUGAGCUAAACAACUAAAAUAUAACAGGACCGGUUGUCUGUUUUACAGCCAGGAGGGUGUAACAAUUUAUACAUGUGCCAAAUUCUGUUGAAACCUGCAAUAAAAUAAAAAUAUAUAUAUAUAAAUAAAAAAGGACGCACUCUUCACACAUAAAUCACAGCUGAAGUGCGUUAUGAUUUUGGAGUGCCCCUUUAAUGUCAGAGUAGAUAAUUGGAAAGCUGAUUUUUUUUUCCAGUUUGGCUAAUUUGACCUUAAACUUGAAAUUCACCUUGAAUUCUCACUUUAGUGAAUAACCAUGUAAAAGCCAUAAUUGGUCAUUUUGGUUCCUUUACACAAAAACAUUGCUUUAUUUCCUAACUUAUGAAUUGAAAGUGAAAUAAGCAGAGUAGCUUCGGAAGUGCUCAGAAAUGAAUUCCUAGACCCAUGCUAAAAAAAAAAAAAAGCUUGAGCCAGUUAAGUAAUUAGUUAGGCAAAAAAUAAUAAUAAACAAAAUGCAGACUCCAUCCCUGUGGAAUCCUUCAAAAGGAUGGAAAGGAAUCAAUAGAGAAAUGGUGAAUCAUAAAUGUAAAAAUCGGCAGAUUAUUUUGAUACAUGUCACAGAGGCAGAUAAAUAAUGCCCAUCUCAUUUAAGAUUAAGGAAUAGUGGUACAGAGUUGUCCUACAUAUAUAUUCUAGAAUAUUUAGUAAUGUAAGAGAUGUAUUUUUUGUUCAAGUUGUGAUCAGAUCAAAUGGUAACUAAAAAAUAAUAACCACUAAUGUAAUUACAUUUCAAUGUGCAACAUCUACAUAUCAUGCAACCAGACAAAUCUUAGGAAACCUAUUUCUCAGACAAUUGCUUCCCACAACUCUUUCAGAACACGGUGUGAAAUAUGCAAUUAAGCACAGGAAGCAAUUCUGUUUUAAGAUAUUCAGCAUUUUUUUUACACAUUGAUAAUUAUAAAUGCAAAAAAAUAAAAAGUUUGUUUUAAUUAAUGCGUGGAGUCUAUUCUAACAUUACCUGUGGAGCAAGGGUGUCUAACCUUUGUCCUCCAUCAUGAGAGUACAAUUGAAUUAAUUAACUGCAAAUAAGCUCUAGACUCUUCGUGAAAAGUACUUAAUAGUUUGUUCAGAGCAACUAUAUCCAUGUAGCAUAAACAAAAAUAAUAAAAUCUUAAAGUGCUCUUCACACAGAUAAAGUAAAAUGUAUUCCAGUAGCAUCUGUAACUCAGCCUGUACUGAGUUAUUGUAUAGCCUCCAUUACGAAACAUUCCUGCUCUGUUGCUUUGCAAAGAAAAUGAAAGCCAAAGUUAUAAUAUAGAACGCUGAACGAGACAUUCUAUAAUGUGCUGAAGUGAAUGAAUGUCUAUCUGCAACGGUAUUUGUCCUCCGUAAUCUUUCUUAUAUUUUAUAAAUGGCACCAAUGAAAAAUGUCAUCUGCACAUAUUUAGCAUUUUGAAUUUUUAGAUUACUACCACAGAAUAUUGCCAAAAUUACGUUCCAUGGUAUUCUCAGCUUGUCUGUUUUCUCAGGCCACAUCAUAACAAAAUACACUGUAAAUACGGUAGAUAAAUAAAGAAGACUGUAUUCAGUUAUUAGACACAACUACUUUGUUCAAUCUGCAGCUAUCUUGUGGCCUAAUCAUUUUUCGGUUCUGAUGAUAUUCCACAGUUUUUUUUAUAUUUAAUUCAUAUACAUAAGCUGACAUGAAUUGCGAGUCCACCUGUAGGCAAACCCUCAACCUACUAAGACUUAUAUUAAAAAAUAAAAAUCGAACUUAAUGUAGUGAAUGUGUUGCUUAAUAAAUGAAAUUGACUGGUCUUGUGGAAAAUGAUCUAAAUAUAAGGAUUUUACUUUUAUUAUAGCAAAUUUUGCAGGUAUACGAGACAUAUAAAGUAUACAUCUAGAAAAGUUCAAUAUUUACACAUCUGGGCAAUUUCUAAUGAGAUCUGGAGUAUAACUUAUAUGAUGUAUUCAUAUAUUUGUGAUUUCAGAAACACUGUCCCACACUGUAUCAGCACUCAGUUCACUAACAGGGUUAUUCAAAGUAAAUUUCAAAUUUAAGGUCAAAAUAGCCAAACCGGAGAAAUCCUCUAAAUCAGCUAUGCUUGCAGUUCUGCUACUCUGGUCUUAAAUUUUAAAUUCACUUUAAAUUCUCACUUUAGUAAAAAAAAAAAAAAACUGUAAGUAACUUAGGCUACUGAUUUAAGGUAAUGGCUAUAUACGAGUCAUGCUAUGGGGCUACUGAAAGUGAACAAAACUAUGUUUACUACAAACAAACCUCCGCUCCUAUGAAUUAAGUGGAGGAUAAGGAGUUAAUUUGGUACUUUACCACAUAGAGUCUUAAUAAUGCCUUAAUCUUUCCUUUAUAGUUACUAAAGAAAUAGUUUUUAACUAUGGAACAGAGUAAUCCAUUAACAUCGAUAUGUUGGUAAAGCAAUAUGGCAGUCUACACCAGCAAUGUUUUUGUUUCAUCUGAUGUAAUAUGGGGAGCAUCUUAAUGGAAUUAACCAUUUCCCAUCUAGAAGUAUCAACGUUCUAUCUUCAAACACGCCCAUAUAAUUACAGGCUUUCUGUAGUAGAACAGAAACAUUAAAAAAAAUAAAAUAAAACUGAUGGUCAAUCUUCGUUUUAUUUUGAGUAGAGCACUGCAAUCAUGGCAGAUAAUCAGUUUACAUGAAUAUUAUGUUUCAUGAUGUUACAUUCUCUGGCUUAUUCAGCCUUUUAAUUGGUGCAUGGAAUUUGCCCUCAGUGAGGACUCUAUGUAUGACGUGUUUGCUGGGUAAUAUGAUGACCUGUGUCUGUAUUAGCAAGCAAGAAAAAAAGAAAAGCUAAAAAAGUUCAAAAAUAUAUGAGAUCCCUUCGUUUUGGAUAAAUGUUUAAUUCAAGUUCAUUCAUUUUUGUGUACUGUGUUGUGCUGUUCUUUUUUUGUAAUAAUUGUCACAGUCCUAAUCAUAGGACUAACCAGAGUUAUAUUUAUCUAAAGUGUACAGGUUGUUUUUUGGGGGGGAGGGCAAGGGAUGUUUAUGUGAUGUUUCGGAUGUGCCACUUUAAUUCUGGAUUGGGCAACUUGGUGGUAAUGCUUACUGCAUCAUAUGUUACCGAGAUCAUGGAAAGGCAUUGCCAUAGAAAAAUAAAAUGUGCUAAAACCA
Long non-coding RNA from Pelobates fuscus (common spadefoot toad), 4212 nucleotides. RefSeq lists it as uncharacterized. NCBI's taxonomy places the organism in Eukaryota, Metazoa, Chordata, Amphibia, Anura, Pelobatidae. The transcript is spliced from 2 exons. The record is from RefSeq and is a predicted model, not a curated record.